Long non-coding RNA from Hyaena hyaena (striped hyena), 321 nucleotides. RefSeq lists it as uncharacterized. The record is from RefSeq and is a predicted model, not a curated record. The transcript is spliced from 3 exons. NCBI's taxonomy places the organism in Eukaryota, Metazoa, Chordata, Mammalia, Carnivora, Hyaenidae.
AUAAAUAAAAACCAAAACAGGACUGGGAGGUAGGGGAGGGUGGAGAAGAACACACUAAGGCUGAAGCUAACAAAGAAAAUAAAAGAUCAAAGAAGCACUGUUAAUACCUGCCUGACUUGGGACAUCUGAAAUCAAUCAAGGACUUUUAUCUAUCCAUGACUCUGAAACUCGGAAACAUAAAACUUUGCUGAGCAUUUGCCCAGAACAACAGAAGAGUUAAGUGAGAGCCGUUCACAGAAGCCCUCACAGUGACUAGCACAUGCUAAAGAAAACAGGAAGUAGGGGCCCCGGAGAAGUGGAGAGAUGUCUGAUUUUAAUCAG